Molecule: transfer RNA, 65 nt
Filed under: Leptocorisa lepida
Lineage: Eukaryota; Metazoa; Arthropoda; Insecta; Hemiptera; Alydidae
Description: tRNA-Phe
Source: RNAcentral
AUUUGGGUAGCUUAAGUUAAAGCAUAAUAUUGAAGCUAUUAGUAUAAGAUUUUUCUUCUCAAAUA